CAAUGGAGGAACUCUGAUGCAGCGAUGCCGCGUGAGUGAAGAAGGCCUUUGGGUUGUAAAGCUCUUUCGUCGGGGAAGAAAAUGACGGUACCCGAAUAAGAAGGUCCGGCUAACUUCGUGCCAGCAGCCGCGGUAAUACGAAGGGACCUAGCGUAGUUCGGAAUUACUGGGCUUAAAGAGUUCGUAGGUGGUUAAAAAAGUUGGUUGUGAAAUCCCGAAGCUUAACUUCGGAACUGCAAUCAAAACUUUUUAGCUAGAGUAUGAUAGAGGAAAGCAGAAUUUCUAGUGUAGAGGUGAAAUUCGUAGAUAUUAGAAAGAAUACCAAUUGCGAAGGCAGCUUUCUGGAUCAUUACUGACGCUGAGGAACGAAAGCAUGGGUAGCGAAGAGGAUUAGAUACCCUCGUAGUCCAUGCCGUAAACGAUGUGUGUUAGACGUUGGAAAUUUAUUUUCAGUGUCGCAGCGAAAGCAGUAAACACACCGCCUGGGGAGUACGACCGCAAGGUUAAAACUCAAAUGAAUUGACGGGGACCCGCACAAGUAGUGGAGCAUGUGGUUUAAUUCGAAGAUACGCGCAGAACCUUACCAACACUUGACAUGUUCGUCGCGGCUCUAAGAGAUUAGAGCUUUCGGUUCGGCCGGACGAAACACAGGUGCUGCAUGGCUGUCGUCAGCUCGUGUCGUGAGAUGUUGGGUUAAGUCCCGCAACGAGCGCAACCCUCACUUUUAGUUGCCAUCAUUUAGUUGGGCACUCUGAAAGAACUGCCAGUGAUAAGCUGGAGGAAGGUGGGGAUGACGUCAAGUCCUCAUGGCCCUUACGUGUUGGGCUACACACGUGCUACAAUGGCAUUUACAAUAGGAAGCAAGAUGGCGACGUCAAGCAAAUCCUAAAAAGAUGCCUCAGUUCGGAUUGUACUCUGCAACUCGAGUACAUGAAGCUGGAAUUACUAGUAAUCGCGGAUCAGCGCGCCGCGGUGAAUACGUUCCCGGGUCUUGUACACACCGCCCGUCACACCAUGGGAGUUGGUUCUACCUUAAGGCAAGGUUUAAAACCCUUGACCACGGUAUAGUCAGCGACUGGGGUGAAGUCGUAACAAGGUAGCCGUAGGGGAACCUGCGGCUG
This 1121-nucleotide ribosomal RNA is filed under the name marine metagenome. RNAcentral's name for it is "bacterial SSU rRNA". It matches the Rfam family "Bacterial small subunit ribosomal RNA", at positions 369 to 1520 of the family's 1533-position model. The record is from RNAcentral.